ACCAUAAGCCUAACUUCACACCACAGUGAUGGCUAAGUCAGGGUUUUUGAGGCUGCCUGAAGAGAGCUGUGCCGGUGGAGGUAAGAUCUGCACUUUGCUCAGUCGCUUGCAUUAGGAGAAGCGAGGUCCUGCUGGAUUUGAAACCGUGUGGUAAAAUGUCAGUAAAUAUUUCAGAGCAUGAGGCAGCGUUUAGACACCACAGCCAUGUGUAAUGCUGAGCUUUGAGGGUCAAAGGCCUGCCUUUGGACUGCCAAAAUACAAGAACCACCCCUCAGAUUUGGGAUACUAAUGGUUUUUGGAAACACAGGCAGGCUUCUGCUGAAAGCCAGGUGGACUUAAAGAGGUUGGUAAUUGUUGUUAGGGCUUUUUCCUCUGCUGGGGAUGAAUACCAAAUGAGCUGUUAACGCGGGGAUGUGGAUGGACAGUUAGUAGGGUGCCUAUCAGAGCUUUCCUGGCACCAGCUUUGUCAUCUUUUCCCCUGCAACAGGACGCUCAGAGGGACCCGCUGCAAUUCUCACUGCACCGUAUGGAAAUCAGUUCACGUUUUCUCUGGAGAAAGAAAAUAACUGCUUCUGCUUUCUGGUUCCUUUUUUUUUUUUUUUUGGCCUUUUUUUUUCUUUCUUUCUUUUUUCCCCUUACACUUUGGAGCCCAAGGUAGCUGCAUUUAGCAGCUUUAAUGUCCUUUCAUUGCUGCUGCUUGCAGGGUUGUGGUCACUCAGGCAGCAGUAACUUUGAAAAAAUGACCCGUCUACACCCAAACAAUAACAGAAUCCCCCUUUUUAUGUUGGCAACGCCCACCGCUUUCUCUUCUCUUCAAGACUCCCCACGUAGACGCAACUGUUUGACCAGCCUUCUUCUGAACAACUUAAUUAAGCAAAAGAAAAAGUGUCAGUUUCUGCCAACCCCACAAAAACAGAGCUGUGGGGGUAAAAAGGGGAUGUGGCAUCAGCCCGCAUUCCUCAAUGGGCUAAUGAAGGGAGACCCUCGCUUUGCAGCGCUGUCAGGCAUAGCCAGGGCUAUCGUGACAUACUGCUUCACCCACCACCCCAGACACGAUGGGAGCCAGUGUGACCCGUGUCCCGUAGACACAGAGGUGCCCUGGGAAGCACCUCUGGCUUGGCAGAGGGGCACGUGUGUGCCUCUUCCCAUUAGAGUCAGCCCAGGGGAUCAAGCAGUUUUCCAAGCUGCAUGAAAAGGGGAGCCCCUUUUUUCUGUCAGGGACAGGCUACAGUUCUGCAAAGGUCGGGGGCUGCUCUGACUUUGCACAGCGCACCUACCACCUCUGAAAUCAAUGGGCUGGCUGUUCACCCGCACAAGUACAGUGCACAUGUAGGUCUUUGAAGGACCACGGCUUUGUCUGGAAAAGAGUGCAAUCUCAGUACAUCUACAGAAGAGGAUGGAUGGAGAAUCAGGUCUGUGCUCUGGCUCAGCGCACAGCCCACAUUAUUACUGUGAAAAGCUGGUCCAUGUGAAAUCUGGGAGGGUGUAGGAGGGAUUCCCAAGCCAGCCUUGGCACAGGCCAGCUGUGUGGUGAAGCACUGAGCACUGCUUGGCUGCUCAGCCCAAAACCCAGCUGGCUGUUUGCAGUCAGAGUUUAUCUGGGGAGGAGUGAGGUACCAGUUUGAGAUGGGUAAGGUUUUAUGGACCUGUUUUCCCAGCCACUGAAAUUACCCCAGCAACUAACUGCAUGAGCAGAAGAAGGAGGCCUCAAAAUCAUGUUGGUGACUUGAUGGUGGGAUGCUGGGAUGCUUUUUUCUCAGAUCCCACCCAUCCUCACAUCCCAGUCUUGGUGGAUGAAAGAGAAGAGAAUGCUUCUCGGGGCAGGAAGUGGAGUGAAGCAACGCCAUUAGCUGAGACAGGAAGGAAACACAGGGCAGGUUUUAUCUCAUCUUCUUCAGAGCUCCUGUGUCCUCUCAUCCAUCCUAAGGAAGGGUGGGUGUUUCUGCACCUCCCAUAAGUGCAAAAAAGAGACAGGACACCUAGUUCAGGCCAGGCACUUAAUUUUUGCAUGGUUAAAAGCAGGUGUGAUGACUGCCCAACCUUCAUGGUUGUCUAGGGGAAGAGGCUGUGUGGGAAGGAGACCUUGUAGCUACUUAGCCAAGGCCUGAGGCAAAAGUGAAGGGCUGGAGAGGCUGAGACAGGACACAGGGGAGGGCACAGCACAAAUGCAUGUAGCUGUGCAUUGCCAAGACACCAGCCAGAGGGCAGGUAGAGGCACAGUCACGUAAAUCAUAGCUGAUGGGAAAUUUACAGCUGACCAGUGAAAAAAGAAAUGGCCUGACCUUUCACUUAAGGCUACAAUGGCUGUGCUGCUGCUGGCCCCUUUCCCCUCCAGGCCACUGGAGAGCCAGUUGCUAUAGCUGUGACAUUCCCCCUGCAGUUGCCUGAGAAACAUGCUGAAGCCCCUGGCUGACACCUCCCGCUCUCAGCAUCCCCCCCUCUGGCACUCGAGAUGCUUUAUGUGCCGAUCCCAGUGUCCGAAGGCGAAGGCGGAGGUUAAGACCUUGUCCUGUAUUCUGUCCCUACUUAGCAGGAUCCCUCUUCAAAGCUCUUACCCAGAGCAGGAGAUGAUCAUGUUUAGUGACCUGUCACACUAGUACUUCAGGCUUUUGUUCUGGGAAAUUGGUCUUCCUCUUUUCAAAGUGAGAGGAUUUGGGCUGUGUCAUUAGAGCCAUCAGCCUGCCAACCUUAAGGGAGCAAGGAGUGAAAGCUGUUUCUCCAUGAGCAGUGGAGGGUCUGAAAUGUCUUACCUCCUUUGAAGCAGAGGUUCCCAUCCCAGUGGCAUUAAAGUGGCCCCAGGACAGAAGGCAGAGGGCUGCUGCUCACCCUGGGUGGUGGGUGACUGGGCAGAAAAUUAGCUGCUCCCAUAUCUUCACUUUGUGCCUCCCUUAUUUAGAUGUGCCCUUGGCAGAUUUUAUGUGGAAGGCCAAUGGAAGAAGGGCCAGGGAUUUUAGACCUUCCCUGCUAGAUAACAUGUUUUAAAGGCACUGUGGCUUUUCCUCAUUCCCAGAAGGAAUAUCAAAACAGACCCUGUAAAAAGCCACUGAACAAACUGUGGCAUCUUGGUAAAUUUUGCCAUCCUGUGCCACAGAGGGUGCUAUAUUCUCUGUUAACCUAACGGCUGGAGUGGUGCAUGGAAGAGGGUCUCCUCUGCUUGCUCGGUGUGGGAGAUGGGCAGCUGCCAUUUGUGUGGCUUUGCCUUCUCCUGCCAUGGCCUGGACCUCACCAGCAAUAGGUACUUCCUUGACAUGAUCAUCUUCUUGGGGUUAGAGCUGGGUGGGUUGUACUCAGUGGGACGGUAAGAGGUGAGGGGAACGGUUGUAUUUCUGCCAUCUGCCUCCUAGGAGCAGUUACCAUUUCU
Molecule: long non-coding RNA, 3361 nt
Organism: Pezoporus occidentalis (night parrot)
Lineage: Eukaryota; Metazoa; Chordata; Aves; Psittaciformes; Psittacidae
Exons: 4
Source: RefSeq, a predicted model, not a curated record